CAAUAGCGUAUAUUUAAGUUGUUGCAGUUAAAAAGCUCGUAGUUGGAUUUCGGGUUGGCUUCAGCGGUCUCGCUUUGCGUUUGUACUGCUGCAGCCUACCUUCUUGUCGGGGACGGGCCUUCGGGCUUAAUUGCUUGGGGCCCGGAGUCGACGAUGUUACCUUGAGUAAAUUAGAGUGUUCAAAGCAAGCCUACGCUCUGAAUAUAAUAGCAUGGGAUAACACGACAGGACUCUGGCCUAUCGUGUUGGUCUGUAGGACCAGAGUAAUGAUUAAGAGGGACAGUCGGGGGCAUUCGUAUUCCGUUGUCAGAGGUGAAAUUCUUGGAUUUACGGAAGACGAACAUCUGCGAAAGCAUUUGCCAAGGAUGUUUUCAUUGA
This 378-nucleotide ribosomal RNA is filed under the name uncultured eukaryote. RNAcentral describes it as "partial 18S ribosomal RNA". It matches the Rfam family "Eukaryotic small subunit ribosomal RNA", at positions 592 to 976 of the family's 1831-position model. The record is from RNAcentral.